CUUGUGUGACCGCGUACUUUUUGUAGAACGGGCCAACGAGUUACGUUAAGUAGCAAGGUUAAGCACUUAAGGUGUGGAGCCGUAGCGAAAGCGAGUUUUAACUGAGCGUUCAGUUACUGGACGUAGACCCGAAACCGGGCGACCUACCCAUGAGCAGGAUGAAGCGAAAGUAAAAUUUCGUGGAGGUCCGAACCCACGGGCGUUGAAAAGCUCGGGGAUGACUUGUGGGUAGCGGUGAAAUUCCAAUCGAGCCCGGAGAUAGCUGGUUCUCCCCGAAAUAGCUUUAGGGCUAGCCUCAAGGUGAGAGAUACGGAGGUAGAGCACUG
RNAcentral lists this ribosomal RNA (326 nucleotides) under Clostridioides difficile. RNAcentral describes it as "bacterial LSU rRNA". It matches the Rfam family "Bacterial large subunit ribosomal RNA", at positions 588 to 912 of the family's 2925-position model. The record is from RNAcentral. Lineage: Bacteria; Bacillati; Bacillota; Clostridia; Peptostreptococcales; Peptostreptococcaceae.